GAUGAACGCUGGCGGCGUGCCUAAUACAUGCAAGUCGAGCGAACAGACGAGGAGCUUGCUCCUCUGACGUUAGCGGCGGACGGGUGAGUAACACGUGGAUAACCUACCUAUAAGACUGGGAUAACUUCGGGAAACCGGAGCUAAUACCGGAUAAUAUAUUGAACCGCAUGGUUCAAUAGUGAAAGACGGUUUUGCUGUCACUUAUAGAUGGAUCCGCGCCGCAUUAGCUAGUUGGUAAGGUAACAGCUUACCAAGGCAACGAUGCGUAGCCGACCUGAAAGGGUGAUCGGCCACACUGGAACUGAGACACGGUCCAGACUCCUACGGGAGGCAGCAGUAGGGAAUCUUCCGCAAUGGGCGAAAGCCUGACGGAGCAACGCCGCGUGAGUGAUGAAGGUCUUCGGAUCGUAAAACUCUGUUAUUAGGGAAGAACUAAUGUGUAAGUAACUAUGCACGUCUUGACGGUACCUAAUCAGAAAGCCACGGCUAACUACGUG
RNAcentral lists this ribosomal RNA (497 nucleotides) under uncultured bacterium. Its description in RNAcentral is "partial 16S ribosomal RNA". It matches the Rfam family "Bacterial small subunit ribosomal RNA", at positions 28 to 507 of the family's 1533-position model. The record is from RNAcentral.